GGAUUGUGGUUCAGCGGUAGAGCAUUCCCCUAGCACCCGCCUAGCACGGGCGGGACCUGGGUUCGAUCCUCAGCACCA
This 78-nucleotide transfer RNA is filed under the name Marmota monax (woodchuck). RNAcentral describes it as "tRNA.Ala". Lineage: Eukaryota; Metazoa; Chordata; Mammalia; Rodentia; Sciuridae. The record is from RNAcentral.